AUGGCCUCCAAGGAGGAGCUGAAUCUGCCUCCCAUUCGGCACGCAAGCCGGGAGGAAAAAGGUUGGCCGCCCUUUGGCCUGAAGAAGCGAAAGGAAGAUGAAGACCGGCAGCCUGCCGACGCCGUAGCUCCACCAAAGAGUCCUUCGCUGAUGAGCUCGAACACGAUCUGCAGAGUGCAGCAACCUGCAUCGCCUUCCACCUUCAUCUACCACCGCGGCAGCCUGAAGAAGAGAGCCCCGACAGCUAGGCUUCCUCCAGAUCAGGGGAGAGCACGAGCUUAUUCGAGAGGGAAAGCUCGCGCCAGAUCCGCCUCCAGUCACCUCUGUCCUCCAUGGACAGUAGGUUGA
This 348-nucleotide ribosomal RNA is filed under the name Triticum aestivum (bread wheat). RNAcentral's name for it is "partial small subunit ribosomal RNA". The record is from RNAcentral. Lineage: Eukaryota; Viridiplantae; Streptophyta; Magnoliopsida; Poales; Poaceae.